Molecule: long non-coding RNA, 1735 nt
Organism: Herpailurus yagouaroundi (jaguarundi)
Lineage: Eukaryota; Metazoa; Chordata; Mammalia; Carnivora; Felidae
Exons: 4
Source: RefSeq, a predicted model, not a curated record
GGUCCCUUAACGUCACACAGCUUUCUAAUUGUUGUUCUUCCCUUUAGAUUUAGAUUUCAACCAGGAGAGCAAUAAUGAGCUUUGCAUGGACAAUGGCUAAAUCUGAAUGAGGCUUCUGGUGCCCUAAUUCAGGGCCAAGGAAAGCUAACAGUCAUGAUUCAAUAAAGGUGCCAGUCCACGGCAGGCAUCAGACAGAAAGGAGACACCUUAUCUGUUGAAUCUACAGAUACUACUUGAAAAAUCACACAUAAUUAAUCCCUUCUCUUAGCGGAGGCUAUUUGAAGCUUUAUCACCAGCUUGUAUGUACGAUUUCAUCUCUGGCUUUCACUGAUGGUUCCGAGAGGGGAGCAUUUUCAAACCAGAGGCAGUUCAUAAUUUAGACAUGCCUACCACCCCUGUUCUAGUUAGCUAAUAAAAGAAGCUUUGCACUAAAUAACUGAGGGGACACAGAAUAGAGAUACAUAGCAAAUAUUUGCCAAGUGGCCCUGAAGUGGCUUCCCAGAUGGCACGUUCUGGGGAAUAAAGAAGAUACGACAGCCCCAUGGGUAUCAAUAUGACAUCUGAUGGUCCUCCUGCGACCCUCUGUGUACAGGGGUGGGCAGUCAAUGGGAAUUCGUUUUACCAUGGCAGUGCUCUCAUAUAGGCUAGAAAAAAUAUAUACGCAGAAAGAGGGAGAGAGACAUAUCUCACGUAACCCAACCUGUGGCUCCCGUAAGGCUCUCCACUAAAGGAAGUUGUGAUGAUUGAAAUUCAUCACACCCUGUGAAUUCUCCUGGGUCAGGAAACACUGGCAUUGGCAGAAUCUGAACUUAAUAGUAUUUGCAAAGUUACUCUUAUGUCAGAACAUGUUUGCCCAACCAUGAUCGUCUCCUCCCUCUUUAUCUAUAAACACAUAUACACUGUAGAUAUUUAUAGACUACUAGGUAUAUGAAAUCAUUUAUGCAAGUUGUAAUUGACUGUGUAAUUAUUGAAUAAACAGCGGAUGAAAGGAAAUGUGAGGUUCUGAAGCUUUAAUUCGCGUUUUAUCUUUUAUUCUUUCAACUGCUUAUUUACUUGUCUACAUUCUCCUCUCUGCUGAUUAUUUUCUGGGCAUGCAUUUUCCCUUGGGCAACAUCAGAUGAGAACAUCAUUUCAUUUGCAUCGCAGGGGAGACGGAGAGACAAACAGAAAGCAGAGAGACAAACAGAAAAUCAGAGGCAGCAUCCUGCUUGGACACCUCCAAGAAUUCAACUGCCUUCAACAAAUUCUAUCAAAUCCCUACUGUGUGCCAGGUGCUAGGAUACGAGGAGGACUUGUCAUCAAUGCUGGAUUGCCCAGUGUGCAGACGAGACCCUCACUUACAAGUCCAGAAAGCAUGGCUGAGAGAGAGCAGAAUGUUCUGGGCACAAAGAACAGCAGGGAGGUUGUCCUGAGGCAACACCCAGUUUGGUGCGUCUGAGGGACUGAAAGGUGCCCACUGCUUCAGUGAAGCUGAAAGGAUAAGAAAAGUGAGGGACCAAGAGGAUAACGACUUAUCCAAGCUCCAUGACUUGGGACUUAAUAAGAGGACAAACCAAUCUUUACAAACCACGGCAGGACCGGGAUGGAAACAAACAAAAACAACAACAAAACACACACACACACCAAAUGGGGAAGUCUGGUUAAGAACAACAGAGAGGACCUGUUUUAGACAGGAGACCAGAGAAGGCUUCUCUAGUUAGGUGAAGUUGUCUGAGAGAUGAAAAUGAUCACACAC